CAGCGUUUGUCGUGAUCACAAGCUCGUACUCGUGGCCUUGUUCCACAUCAACGAGUUCCACGGGCUCUUCACGAGAAGCUUUCUCCUCCGAUCGAGCCACCGGCAGAAACUCGUAGUAGGACGUCUCGGGCAGAAACAUGUAGGAGAUCUGGGACGGAUCGCAAAGCGGCUUGAGAUUCACUCCAAAGAAAGACUCCGAGGACGCGUAGAUCAUGGAUGCUAUUGGCAGGCCGUCGGUGAGAUAGUCGACUUCUCCAACAUACUGCUCCAUAGCACCGGUGACGACUGUGUCGAUAGCUUUGGCACUGGGCCACAGCUUCCGGACGAUUCCUUUCAAGCUUCCACUCAAGCACGCCUCGUCGAUCACGUUCGCAAGCUCUGGAUCCGGCCUUAAGAUCUUCUCCACGGCUUCUCUGCAAGCCGGAUCCACAACUCUCUCGGACAAAGUUCCCGUUCGUAUGUCCCUGGAAAGCUCCUGCCACCAGGCUUCGAGGCACCUUAUCGACCUCACGAGCGCCGACGCAAAGAAGCAGCCCAGCUUCGUCACGUCUCGGGCGUGGAUCAAACCACACAGCAAGUGGCAGUAGGAGGCUUGCACGCUGUCCGUGCAAAGUAUCACCUCCAGGGGGCUUGUAUAAUCGUUGCUUGGAUCGAAAAGCCAGUUGCGGAACUCUGGACUGUUGUAGUAUCCCGUCAGUGCUGGAUAAGCUGGAAGUCCUCCAGGAGUCUUGCGGCCACUUCUCACGUAUAAGAAGUACAAAGCUUUGCCGGUCCUCAGUCCAGGCAAGUCCCUACAGAUUCGAAGGAACAAACAAUCAUAAGCUUUGGAGGAAAAUGACGACGAAUACCUGUUGAGCAGAGCGGUGGCAAGAUCAAAGAAGUAAUCCGACACAGCAUAGUGUCCCUCCGCUUUCGGGAACAGCUUGUGAGCCCCGCCGGAGGUCCCAGAGCUGCCAAAAGAUCUUUGCAAAAUCGACAAACUAGAGAUAAACUUACCUCGUGAACAUAUCCGUGAUAGGAUUCGCAGAGAGCAAAGUAGAGGCCUCGCCGUCGGCAAUUCGAUUGAUCUCAUCCUUGAUGUCUUCGUACUCAAUGACCGGCGCUCUCUGCCGAAACACCUCCUUGGUUGCUGCUCGCAAUCCAUGCCUAUUGAAGUAGUCUGUGGCGGCAUUCUUCUCCAGGAUCUCGGCCAGAACUUUAUCCUGAGCCUCACCGGGACUCCAGCUCGAGCUCUCGAGCUUCUCAAGCAGGAGCUGCUCGUUCUCCAUCGUCUAAACCCGGAAAGGCACAAGAGGUAAGAAAUAAAAGAAGAGUCAAAUAUACCUCCGUUUGCAAGUGUUAAAUCAGCACGUUUCUACUAACAUAGUAAAAUACAAUACACACCAGAAGCUUUUGAAACAAUCACAAUGUCUGCUUGAAUUAUUGCUAUGUGAAAAGAAGAAAGAAAAAAACGAAGCACAGACUUCGUUUGGAAGUGUUAAAUCAGCACGUUUCUACUAACAUAGUAAAAUACAAUACACACCAGAAGCUUUUGAAACAAUCACAAUGUCUGCUUGAAUUAUUGCUAUGGGAAAAGAAGAAAGAAAAAAACGAAGCACAGACCUCAUUUGGAAGUGUUAAAUCAGCAUGUUUCUACUAACAUAGUUAAAUACAAUACGCACCAGAAGCUUUUGAAACAAUCACUGCUUGAAUUAUUACAAUGUGAAAACAAAAGAAAAAUACGAAGCACAGACCUCGUUUGGUUUGAAGCAGAAACUUUUUUAUUCUCACCAGCCCGCACCCAAAGCUUUUAAAACGCAUCGACUGUUCUUGACACUGGCGACUUAAACUCGUCCCAGACCAGCUUCGCGCACUGAUGGUUGAGCGAAUCAAUCUGUUCUCCCGCUUCCCCUCCAGCACUAGAGCCGGAGCUUCGGUCUCCAACUAGUAGAGCAGGAGGACUAGAGCUUUUGCCUCCAGCAAUCGUCGAAGAAGCUCUAUUGUUGUCAUGAGAUAAGCAAAUCUCUGUCACCACCCCCGGACCGUUUGCAGCCAGCUUCGCCUGUGCUAGCCGGAUCCUCUCGGCGCGAGAGCCAAUCACCUGUCCCAGGAUGGAUGCCCCGAUAGUGAAAGCCAUAGCGAGCUUUGUCAUGUUGACAGCCUUUCUCAUCAUAGCAAUGAAUGGCACUGCUGCAUGGACCGCAACGAACCACUUCAGAGAGAACUUCUUUGUGUGUUCGCACCAGACCCCCAGCGGCAUGUUGGUUGCCAUCCCCAGGAGGCCGAUUGCCAGGAGUUUGGAUGGCAAUGGUUGAGGCCUCAAGUUCUUUGCGAACAGGGUGGCUUGAGUGGCGAUGAUAGCCGGUGGACACCGGUACUUCAUCCCUGAGGGUGGUUUGAACCACUUUGUGACGAGAGGUAGCACUCCAGAGCGUGCGAUUGGGCAGUUCCCAGUUGCCAGCCACUCGGAGCCAAGAGCUUCGUGAAGAUGGUCUUGAAAAUGUUUCAUUGAAUCAUCAGAAGGAAGAAGAAGGAAAAAAAAAAAAUUCAUGACAAUGACAGGAAAUGAAUGCAAAGUUACAGUAAUUUGAUGAAUCAAAACAAAGAAAUCACACCAUAGCAGUCCUAAGGAUUAUUGAAAUGGAAGAACCUGGUUAAUCGUAUUGCUUGGUGGGCUUUGAAAUUUUAGAUAUAUAAUUUUGAUGUUGUUCAUUGCCCAGGGAGUUUUAUGACUGAUGCUGAUACUCUUUCUUGAACUCCUCUUCCUUCUUCACUCUCUUCUCAUAUUUCUGAUGAGCUUGUUAUUCCAGCAUCUGUGAAUUUUUUAAACAAGGAUUCUGUACCGUCGACGGUUGUUAUACUUGACAUUUAAUGUCCACAAUGUGCAGAAUAAGAUCUACCUUCUCUUUGAUGAGGUUCGCGAGGCUCCAAAUAUUGAGCCAAAUAUCGUUCUUAGACGUUGUUACAAGGUAAUCAUGCUAUUAUUACAUCAUUAUUGAAGCGGAAGAACUUGGUUGAUCGUAUUGCUCGGUGGGCUUUGAAGAUUCAGAUAUAUAAUUUUGAUGUUGUUCAUUGCCCGGGGAGUUCUAUAGCUGAUGCUAAUUCCCUUUCUUGAGCUCUUCUUCCUUCUUCGCUUUCUUUUUAUGUUUUUAACGAGCUUGUUGUUCUAGCAUCUACAGAUUUUCUACACAAGAAUUCUGUGCUAUCAACAGUUGCUAUUCUUGAUGUUCAGUGUCCAUAAGAUACAAAGCAAGAUCUACCUUCUUUUGAUGAAGUUCGUGAGGCUCAAAAGAUUAAGUUGUGAAUUCGAAAGCUUCAAGAAGGGUUUGAGAAUCCUACAUCACUUGCUGACGACUUACCAUUCCGGCAUUUAAGUUCUUAAUAUCGCCUUAAAAACAACUUUUUUUAUUUUAUGGGGAUGGAUUUUGAUGAUCAUUUAUGGCUGGUGGUGCCUUCAAUGUUUAUUCCACGAUUUUUCCAUGCAUACUAUGAUUCUCCUAUUUUAGGUGGGCAUAUGGGACAUCAUCAUAUGACCAAGAAGCUGCACAGAUCUUUCUAUUAGCUAAAGAUGCGAUGUGAUGUUAUCCGGUAUAUGUAUAAAUGCGUUUAGUAUUAAGCACGUAAUACUCCCCUUUAUACUGCAGAAGGAUGAUUGGAGUCAAUUGCAGUUUCCCAUUCGUUUGAGUUGGUGGCAUUUGAUCUUAUAGGACCUUUUCCAUGAUCGACUUUUGGUAGUGAGUAUGUUAUUAUUGCUUCUAACUACUUGACUUGUUAGGUGAAAAUUGGUGCUCUUGCUAGUGCCUCUGGAACUACUGUUAGAUACUUCCUCCUUAAUGAAGUGGUGUUCUAGCAUUCUUCUCCGGAGCGGAUUCUUUCGGUAAUGGUCCCAUAUUUAUAGUUAAGGCAUUUCAUGUUUUGACAUCUUGGUUGGGAAUACACCACACUUUCAUGAGUGUUUAUUAUCCAUAGUCAGACGGUUUAGUGGAAUGGCUUGUUCAAACAUUCAAAGGGAUGAUCGUUAAGUAUAUGAACUUUCAGCAUUCGGAUUGGGAUGGUUAUUUACUGUUUUUUCAAUAUACAUAUGUCACAAGGGUGCAAAAUUAUAUUGGUGUUUCACUAUAUAAACUCCUAUAUGGUCAUGAUCCAAUAUUACCAACGGAGUUGGGUUUACCUUUGCAAUUGCCACGAGCUACCGAUGCUAGGUCGUGGGAUCAGUUUUUGAUGAGCAUUCUUCCACUUGUCCAAAUAGAGUCUACUAAAUACCUAAGCCACAUACAAGUGGGACAAUAACGACACUACAAUUCACAUCAUUGUUCACCUACAGAGUACAAAGUGGAUGACUUGGUGUUAGUCUAUUUUCCCCAUCUUAUGAUACAUAGUUUAUCUAAAAGGCUCCUUGCUUAGUGAAAAGGGCCAUAUCAAGUAUUGUGGCAAGUUAGACCACACGUUUAUGAGAUAUGGCAUAAUGUCAAGUAAGUUAAUCCUCCAAAAAUUGUGCAUGUGCAACAGUUGAAAUAUUUUGUACAAAGGGAUUAGGAAUAACUGAUACCAUCUACAAAUCCACCAAUGCCUCCUGUUGAUGGUAGGGAUGAUAUGAGAUUCAAGUGUAUGGUUACAAUGCCGUAUAUUAUAAUUAGCAUAGUGGGAUUUUAGUAGCUGUUGGAUUGGUUUUAAUUUGGACCACUCACUCCUAUAUAUAAACUAGGGUUUUUGAGCUAAUAGAUAUGCAUAAUUUUAUUAUUCCCUAGACAUAAUACUUGGUUUUUAGAUGGGUUAUUUAAAUAUUUUAAACUAAGUCAUUUACUACCUGAUAUAUAUCAUUUUAUUUUGUUUCCUAUUCAAAUUCUAUAUAAAAAGUUAACUUAUGAGAUUUAUUUAAAGAUACACAGCUUUAUAACAAAUAAAGGUACUAUACUGAAUUAUAUUAGUGGCAUUGUGACAGCUACAAUUUUAUAGAUGCUUAUUCAAAAUCAAUAUACUAAAUAAAGGUUAAAAAUGUAGAAAAAAUAGCAAAUAAAGUGGGAUUUUAAGCAUUUGAAUUUCAGUGUAUUACUCUGAACUCUCUUGUUAGUGUUUUCUAAGUUAAGGUGAUGAAACUAUUGAUCAUAUAUUCUACUGACGCUUGACAACAGUUGUGUGCUAUGCAGUUUAUAGUACGAUAGUUGCUAGCACUUGAGUAUAAUAAUAAAAUUUGCUGUAAUUUUUAGAGUUUUUACGAUCAAACAAUCAAAAUAAUAUUAAUACUCCGGUGCUCUUGGACUGAAGUACUGCUGGUAUACACCACUCUCCACGAUUUCCAGCAUCCUGGUCGCAUUUUUCUUGAUACACCUUGGCAGCUUGAAUUGAGAAACACUUCCACCCCUGGAUGCGGCAUCAUCAGCGAUUCGAUUGAAAGUCCCUGGUGUCACAAGCCUCAUCUCCAGAGCUCCAAUGGAUCUCUCCAUCCUCCCCCUGUGAUACACCACGCUCAGUGAUUCUUCCAUCUUGUAGCAGCACUCUCCUGCCUUUUCCGGUUCCAAGUGAAGCGCGCUGGACAGCUCCCAGUAAAUCACGUAGUGCGGAGGAUUGGAGGAGAGGUCGGCAUAGCUGGUGUAGUCCGUCAAUCUUAUUGCCUCCCCCUCCUUGCUCGUGACGCCAUUUCGCAAUGCCGCAAACGCGUUCAUGACUGCGGUCUGGAGCUCCUUCUCGUCCGUUUUGUCCGAGUCGAUGCUAAGUAGAACGUUCCUCCGGCAGACGAAGCUGAAGAGCGGAGCUUUGUUGUGGAAGCCCUCGACUCUAAGAACGUCACCCAUGCGAUAUCUGUACAAUCCUGAUGGAAAGAGCCAGAAAAGAUAAAGAUACAAGCCAAGACAAUGAACUGGAAACUAUACCAGCGUUUGUCGUGAUCACAAGCUCGUACUCGUGGCCUUGUUCCACAUCAACGAGUUCCACGGGCUCUUCACGAGAAACUUUCUCCUCCGAUCGAGCCACCGGCAGAAACUCGUAGUAGGAGGUCUCGGGCAGAAACAUGUAGGAGAUCUGGGACGGCUCGCAAAGCGGCUUGAGAUUCACUCCAAAGAAAGACUCCGAGGACGCGUAGAUCAUCGACGCUAUUGGCAGGCCGUCGGUGAGAU
This 6092-nucleotide long non-coding RNA is filed under the name Selaginella moellendorffii. Its description in RNAcentral is "long non-coding RNA (SMOE_LNC000009)". The record is from RNAcentral. Lineage: Eukaryota; Viridiplantae; Streptophyta; Lycopodiopsida; Selaginellales; Selaginellaceae.